Mastomys coucha (southern multimammate mouse) is the source of this 308-nucleotide long non-coding RNA. RefSeq lists it as uncharacterized. The transcript is spliced from 3 exons. The record is from RefSeq and is a predicted model, not a curated record. NCBI's taxonomy places the organism in Eukaryota, Metazoa, Chordata, Mammalia, Rodentia, Muridae.
UGUCCGCCCACGCGCGUUCAGCAUGCGCCCGGGGACCUGCGGGACCAGAAAGACAGAGAAGACCUCUUGGACCAGCAGGAGACGUCACAGGACUCAUCCACCUGCGGAUUAAGCUGGGAAGACUCUCAGACAAGACAAGCUGCAAAGAAGCUUCUGAGACCAGAUCAGACCAGCUGCUGGGAGAAGCGGGAACCAGCAGACUUUUGGAACAGUCACUUGGAAAGGACUCUCUACAAUCUGUGUCCGUCUUUCCUCUUCUGUUCAGCUUAGUGUGAUAAUCUCCCAAUCACAUUGCUUGACCUCUAAAA